ACUAGGCGAAACCAUAACCGGUUGAGUAAGGCGAGGUUCUCCCGGUGCGGCCAAAUUGAUCACGAUCACCAAAACGGAACCCUGGCUAGUACCGACCCACAAGGAAGCCGAAACGGCCGUACCUAAUUUGCGAGCCAAGGUGUCGGCGAAAGUGAGAGUGGUGACGGCCUCGUUCGGAUGAUUCUCCAAACUGGAAGUGCUGGAACUCCUGGAUCGCGUGAACGCCGUGUCCGAUUUGUCUAAAAUGAAACCGCAAGUUCGUGAUAUUUCUGGCACGUGACACAGCCGAGCGACAAGUCGAAGAGAAGAUGGAAUUGUUAUGUGAAGAAGAGAAGACAGAAAGAUAGAUAGAAAGAAACAAAAGGAAUCUCGGUUGACACAACAGUUCAAACGGCAACGAAGAGAACACAUUGAUAUGACACAAGUUAGAAAAGAAAGAAGGACAUCAUGAGCAUGAAAUUUGUCUGUCGAUUUCAUAC
This is a long non-coding RNA of Daphnia pulex (common water flea), 479 nucleotides long. RefSeq lists it as uncharacterized. NCBI's taxonomy places the organism in Eukaryota, Metazoa, Arthropoda, Branchiopoda, Diplostraca, Daphniidae. The transcript has 2 exons. The record is from RefSeq and is a predicted model, not a curated record.